RNAcentral lists this ribosomal RNA (465 nucleotides) under uncultured bacterium. RNAcentral's name for it is "partial 16S ribosomal RNA". It matches the Rfam family "Bacterial small subunit ribosomal RNA", at positions 28 to 507 of the family's 1533-position model. The record is from RNAcentral.
GACGAACGCUGGCGGCGUGCUUAACACAUGCCAGUCGAACGGAAAGGCCCUGCUUGCAGGGUCCUCGAGUGGCGAACGGGUGAGUAACACGUGGGUGAUCUGCCCUGCACUUCGGGAUAAGCCUGGGAAACUGGGUCUAAUACCGGAUAGGAGCCAUUUUUAGUGUGAUGGUUGGAAAGUUUUUUCGGUGUAGGAUGAGCUCGCGGCCUAUCAGCUUGUUGGUGGGGUAAUGGCCUACCAAGGCGGCGACGGGUAGCCGGCCUGAGAGGGUGGACGGCCACACUGGGACUGAGAUACGGCCCAGACUCCGACGGGAGGCAGCAGUGGGGAAUAUUGCACAAUCGGCGCAAGCCUGAUGCAGCGACGCCGCGUGGGGGAUGACGGCCUUCGGGUUGUAAACUCCUUUCGCUAGGGACGAAGCUUUUUGUGACGGUACCUAGAUAAGAAGCACCGGCUAACUACGUG